CAAGAAUCUUCAUGGAGAGGCGCGCGCGCGGGGUCGGCCGGCUCCCCGCCCACCUCGGCUACUCCUGCGAUCGGGCGGUGGCCUGCGCGGGGCGCCGGGGGUCCCGAGCCCAUGGAUUCAGCUGGGACCUGUGCUAAUCCCCGAGUAGCCUCAGUCUCCUUCCAUCUCGUGACAGACCCUCGACCCUUUCUUGUCUUGAUACUCCACAAACAUCGGUCAACUACCUUGUGAAACACCUUGGCAGUUCCAGAUACUUAGUUGACAGUGCCUCAGUUUGGGAAGACCACCACCACAGAUUGACAGUGUUGCUCCAACCUCAACCAUACAUCACUAUUAGGGGAAUUCAUACUGUCGAUCAGUGACAUUAACGCUGCCCGGUAGUGUCUGCUAGGUUUUUAUAUUAUAAAGGUCUAUUUUAAAUUUUAUCUUGAGAAAUUAUGCCAUACCCAUGUCCUGUUCCUCCAUCCACUCUCACCUGCCACUUUCAACAUUUAUGGCCAGGUCCUGUCUGUGACUGCUGUCACUGUACUGGGUUCCUAACAGUGAGUUCAAAAUGCCUUGAUUUCUUCAAUAAACUGGCAAUCAUUUUGAGAGACUACUCCCUCUCCCCACUUACUUCUUUAUCAUUUAUAUACAUGUGGUCUCACGCAGGGUUCUUCUGUGGGUUGUGGCUCCCUGUCAUUGUCCUGUGGCUGAGGUAGUUUAGUAUUGGGGGCUGCUUUGGUUGGAUACCGUCGCCUUCAGGCAGUUUCUGUUUUUAAAUCACUUCCUUAAUUUUCUGCCAUCAAAGGAUGCUCCAGAUUUACUUUUUGUCAUCUUCUUCUGUGGAUCCUGCCCCAGCCUUAGAAUCAACUACUUUCCCCGGGAAUCCUAGUUCUUUGUAUCAGAUAUGAUAUCUAAGAGUCUGAAUUUGGAUGCUGAGGGUUUGUUUCUGUUUUGUUGUGUUGUAUUGUUGUUUGGGGGGAGGACUGGGCCAUUAACUGCUGCUGUAUUCAGUAGAGAGUUUGAAAUCAAUGCUUAUGUGAACACCAUAUAACAUAUACGUCAUGCAUUUCUACAUUUUCCUUAUCAAAUAGAGACAUGGGUGUAUAUAUCCAAGGUAUGUCACAUGAAGACAGAGAUGAAGAUGUCCAACACCUGGAUCCCUGUCUAAUAGCCCAGGUUACGAUUUAGUCAUCUGCCUUGCCUGGUGUGUAACUUCUUUUUUUCUAACAGCACAAAAACCUGCCUUUCAUUGUUUACAUUCUGUUUUUUUCAAUCUUAGCACACACCUAUGUGUGUGAGUUAUAUAUAAAGGAUGUGAGUUAUAUAUAAAGGAUGAUUCCUUUUUCUGAUUGUAUCUUGUAAUUGAAUAAAUAAUGAAGUUAAUUCUGAAGCAUCGUGGAUAAAUUCUGCAGUCUCAAUAUGUAAUACUACUCUUUCAGCAUACUGAGAGUCAGUUACUAUAUUGAGAGGUUCUGAAAAAUCCAUUAAUACCAACAGAAUAGCAUACAAUUCUGAUUUUUGAACUGAAUUAUAAGGACUUUGAACCACUUUACUUAAAUUUUCUGAUUUGUAACCUGCCUUUCCUUGUUUGUUGGCAUCUGUAUAAAAUGUACGAACUCCAGAUAUGGGUUUUUUCCUCACAAUUCGAGGCAAGAUCCAAUCAGCUCUCCUAAAGUAGCCACAGAAUCGCUAGCCAGUAAUCAGAGGAGAAACACACUCACAGUUGGGGUCCCGUUGUGUACAGGAGCUUCUGUCACUGGCGUUGCAGAACUCUACCAAACUGUUAUUUCCCCAAGUUUUGAAACAAAAACUCUGAAUUCGUUCCUCUUCUUCCGUGAGGGUGCUAUUCACUUGUAACUUAGUUAGGUUUGUUUAUGAGCUACAACCCAUGCUUGAUGCUUUUAAUUAUUUUAUUAAAAUUAAUUAGCUUCAUUUUUCUAAAACUUAAAACGUUGUUUGGGUGCAUAGUUAAAGCUUUAUAAAGAUAUAUCUCCCCUGAGAACUGCCCCCCCUUUGUUUUUCCUGACUGGUGCCACCCCCACUUCUUGCCACCCCUUUCCUGGACACACCCUGUGCAUAGGAUACAGCCAUCUAACCCCCUUUGUCUUACACCCAUGAAGAUACACAGGCUUUUGUGGUAGCAGACAUUGAUCUGACUCAGGCUGAAGAUUUGUUGAUGAUGUGGUGAUAUAGUGAAUGAGUACUCUAUCCCUUUUUAAAGUGUUGCUUUCUAUACCAAUAUAUGCACAGAUGCACAUAUCCAUGCACCUUGGGCAAAAUACAAGUUAAAAUCAGGAGUGUCACGCUGAGUCAGUAGGAAAGAGCUUCGUGUGGGGAAAUCCCAAGGCCCUUUCUCCACUGUGCAUUCCUCUCUCUUCGUUCUGUCCUUCCUCAAGUGUGCAAAGAGCUUAGCGAGGGAUCUACAUGUACUCUCUCUAUAUUAGCAACUUCCGUUCUUUCCGUAACUUGUUGAAUGCUGCCUUUUGCCCACACAAUCCCACCUAAGUUCUUUUACGUAAAGUCACCAUAAACUAGGCUAUUCCAGAUUCAAGUGUCAUAUUUUAUCUUCAAGAUACUAAACGAUACUGGUCCCAACCAGUUUCAGUAAACUCUUCCUCUUUCCCUUCAGAGGCAAUGUUCAUCCUGGUUUGCCUUUUGCUUCUCUGUUAAUAUCGGUGUUCUCUCCACACAUCCUACAGACAUCACUGUUUUCCAAGAUUGCAUCCAGGAAUCUUUUUCCUCUCAUUACAUCUUCUUUGACCUCCAGUGAUUUUGCUCUGUUCUUUUGUCUAUACAAUAACUUAACUCACCUUACACACUGGUUUAUGCAGUGUCAUGAUCAUGUUGAUAUAUGUUUGCACAAGAUAUUCUACUUGCCUAAAAUACUCUCUCUGCCUUGGUUCUUAGAGUGAAUGCAUAUGCAACUUUGAAAACUAGCCCAGCAUCAACUCCCUGCUCCAGAAACCUCCCCUGUAUGGGUUGCAUGCUCCUCUCUGAGGAAUAAACUCUACAUAUUUCUCAGUACACAACUGUCACUCAAUAACCCCUGAUGUCUUUUUUUGUGGGGCUAUCUCAUGAUCAAGGAGUCAAAGUACUAUUUGGAUGUCAAUCUAAAUAAUCUUUCAAAUUAUUGUACAUUUGCAACUAUGACAGAUAAAUAAAGAGAGAAAGACUUGGU
This is a long non-coding RNA of Peromyscus californicus insignis, 3163 nucleotides long. RefSeq lists it as uncharacterized. The record is from RefSeq and is a predicted model, not a curated record. The transcript has 2 exons. NCBI's taxonomy places the organism in Eukaryota, Metazoa, Chordata, Mammalia, Rodentia, Cricetidae.